CCUACGGGAGGCAGCAGUGAGGAAUAUUGGUCAAUGGGCGGAAGCCUGAACCAGCCAAGUCGCGUGAGGGAAUAAGGCCCUACGGGUCGUAAACCUCUUUUGCCGGGGAGCAAGGGCGGGGACGUGUCCCGGCCCGGAGAGUACCCGGAGAAAAAGCAGCGGCUAACUCCGUGCCAGCAGCCGCGGUAAUACGGCGGAUGCGAGCGUUAUCCGGAUUUAUUGGGGUGAAAGGGUGCGUAGGCGGGCUUGGAAGUCAGCGGUCACAAUUCGGGGCUCAACCCCGUCCGGCCGUUGAAACUGGGGGCCUUGAGUGGGCGAGACGCAGGCGGAAUGCGUGGUGUAGCGGUGACAUGCAUCGAUCUCACGCAGAACCCCGAUUGCGAAGGCAGCCUUCCGGCGCCCUCCUGACGCUGAGGCACGAAAGUGCGGGGAUCGAACAGGAUUAGAUACCCCAGUAGUC
RNAcentral lists this ribosomal RNA (460 nucleotides) under uncultured bacterium. Its description in RNAcentral is "partial 16S ribosomal RNA". It matches the Rfam family "Bacterial small subunit ribosomal RNA", at positions 338 to 795 of the family's 1533-position model. The record is from RNAcentral.